CUGCUGAAAGACUUCUUGAAAUGUAAGGCAGAUGCCCAUGAGGACUUCAGUGAGAAGCUUGUCAAACUUUAUCUUACAAUGGGUAGCAUUUGUCUAGCAGACAGAAGGAUACAAGAAGCUUAUCAGCUGUUCAGCAAGUCCUUACAGAUUCAAAUGGUUGUGGACUGUCCUCAGCAUAUGAAAGCCAAAGAGAUGCCCAGACUUCUCAGCAUGUUGGAGAGGUUUCCCAUUGUCUGCAAGAGGAACAGACUUGUCAAGUAGAAGAGAGAAAAAGUACUGAAGGUACUGCUGUCACUGUUCUGCAUCUCAUGCAAAGUGUGGUAGGAAAGUGGAUCUAAUGCAGUGGUGGUGUUUUGCAGAAUUUAAGCAAAUUAUCAAGUCAAAAAGAUGUGCAACAGCCUUCCACUCAUUCUGUUCUUAACAUGCACCCCUUUGCCCUUUUAACUUUAUUUGAAGACAGAGAUGUAAUAUAACCCACCACAGUAACACAAACUGCAUGCAUUUUUAACAUUUAGCACAGUUUAGAACGAGACAGUAAUCUCUUAGAAAAGCAUGUCUCUAUACUUAUACUAGUGAACUUCUAAGGAUGUUCCAUUGCUAUUUUCAUGAAUAAAGCAUAAUCCUCCCAAAAGGGGGAAAUAUGAUUCCUUUUCCCCAUAAGUCUACCCUGACCUUUAUUAUUAUUAUUAUUUUAAACACACACUGAAAAAAGCCCAGCUACACGACCUGAAGUUUAGCCAGCUCUCAGUUUCAGUUCAGACAACUGGAGGCAGUCUUUCCAUCAUUAAACUUCAGUUUUCACUAUGAAAAACCUUGGUUUAGCAAAUGCAACUUUUCACAACUUUUCACAACAUUUUGAUGUCCGUAUCUGUGAAGUUAACACUUCAGAAAGGUAACACAUUCAUGAACAUCUGUGUGACUUCUGGAAACUCAAAUCCCAUUUUCAAAAAUUACUUGGAUAUCUCAGAAACAGGUCUUUAAGCAUCUACGUCCCGUUAUUAGGGCACCAUGUAAGAGGAUGUGUGCAUAUGUCAAACACUGAUCUUCUCCCUCCUUGAUCAGUACCUCUGGUAGAAGUAGUCUUUAACUUGCAUCCCUCCAGGAGCACCCCCAUACAGCGUUCAUGCAGAAUCACCUGUGUACUCCAAGUCCAUUCCUUCACUCACUGCACAGUAACUUUUUGCAGCCAAGGCUUUCUGUGUUCUUACCCACCUAUAACUACAUUCACAAAGGUAAUCAUUGACAAUUACCUACAUUUGUGAGUCUAGGCCUCUGUUUGGUCCUGCCAUGCACAAACAUAAGUACGUCUUGCACAAAUCUUGCAUGUCUACAAUAAUUCUUAUUUGUGAAAUCGAAGCGUUACUCUUACCGGAACUGUGAAGACUGUACAAACUACUUGAGAUAUUCUUUCCAUAAUCACUGUUGGUAGAUUAUAGAAGAAAUUGUUAAAAACACCAUUUUAAGAAUUAAUAUAGUACAUCUGAAGCCAAUUAUGUAAAAGCACAAAUGCUAAACCACAGCAAUGUCCUUGAAUAAAAUACAAGGUAACUUCAGUACUCUAAAAUAAGUCACAUCGAGAAAGUAAUGUGUUCAGUUUCAUUUUUAUCUCAUCAUCCAGAGAAGUAGUAAAUAACUCUUAACACUCAAUAGUCAAAGAUAAUAAUUCUUAAUGAGACAGUAACAUUAAUGUUUUUCACUGAACAAAUUGAGAUGGUAAGCC
Molecule: long non-coding RNA, 1720 nt
Organism: Dromaius novaehollandiae (emu)
Lineage: Eukaryota; Metazoa; Chordata; Aves; Casuariiformes; Dromaiidae
Exons: 3
Source: RefSeq, a predicted model, not a curated record